Molecule: ribosomal RNA, 253 nt
Filed under: uncultured bacterium
Lineage: Bacteria
Description: partial 16S ribosomal RNA
Rfam family: Bacterial small subunit ribosomal RNA
Source: RNAcentral
UACGGAGGAGGCUAGCGUUGUUCGGAAUUACUGGGCGUAAAGCGCACGUAGGCGGCUUUGCAAGUUAGAGGUGAAAGCCCGGGGCUCAACUCCGGAAUUGCCUUUAAAACUGCAUCGCUAGAAUUGUGGAGAGGUAAGUGGAAUUCCGAGUGUAGAGGUGAAAUUCGUAGAUAUUCGGAAGAACACCAGUGGCGAAGGCGACUUACUGGACACAUAUUGACGCUGAGGUGCGAAAGCGUGGGGAGCAAACAGG